UACGGAAGGCAGCAGUGGGGAAUAUUGCACAAUGGGCGCAAGCCUGAUGCAGCCAUGCCGCGUGUAUGAAGAAGGCCUUCGGGUUGUAAAGUACUUUCAGUCGUGAGGAAGGUGUUAAGGUUAAUAACCUUAGCAAUUGACGUUAGCGACAGAAGAAGCACCGGCUAACUCCGUGCCAGCAGCCGCGGUAAUACGGAGGGUGCGAGCGUUAAUCGGAAUUACUGGGCGUAAAGGGCACGCAGGCGGUUAAUUAAGUUGGAUGUGAAAUCCCCGGGCUUAACCUGGGAAUGGCAUUCAAGACUGGUUAGCUAGAGUCUUGUAGAGGGGGUAGAAUUCCAUGUGUAGCGGUGAAAUGCGUAGAGAUGUGGAGGAAUACCGGUGGCGAAGGCGGCCCCUGGCAAAGGACUGACGCUCAUGUGCGAAAGCGUGGGGAGCGAAACAGGGAUUAGAUACC
This 454-nucleotide ribosomal RNA is filed under the name uncultured bacterium. RNAcentral's name for it is "bacterial SSU rRNA". It matches the Rfam family "Bacterial small subunit ribosomal RNA", at positions 340 to 786 of the family's 1533-position model. The record is from RNAcentral.